This 70-nucleotide transfer RNA is filed under the name Camelus bactrianus (Bactrian camel). It matches the Rfam family "tRNA". From Rfam's summary of the family: Transfer RNA (tRNA) molecules are approximately 80 nucleotides in length. Their secondary structure includes four short double-helical elements and three loops (D, anti-codon, and T loops). Lineage: Eukaryota; Metazoa; Chordata; Mammalia; Artiodactyla; Camelidae. The record is from Rfam by way of RNAcentral. RNAcentral also lists the same sequence under 2 other names.
GGGUGUAGCUCAGUGGUAAAGCGUGUGCUUAGCAUGCAUGAGGUCCUGGGUUCAAUCCCCAGUACAUCCA